This 391-nucleotide ribosomal RNA is filed under the name uncultured bacterium. RNAcentral's name for it is "bacterial SSU rRNA". It matches the Rfam family "Bacterial small subunit ribosomal RNA", at positions 28 to 407 of the family's 1533-position model. The record is from RNAcentral.
GAUGAACGCUAGCUACAGGCUUAACACAUGCAAGUCGAGGGGAAACGACAUCGAAAGCUUGCUUUUGAUGGGCGUCGACCGGCGCACGGGUGAGUAACGCGUAUCCAACCUGCCCACCACUUGGGAAUAACCUUGCGAAAGUAAGACUAAUGCCCAAUGACAUUUAUAGAAGGCAUCUGAAAUGAAUUAAAGAUUUAUCGGUGAUGGAUGGGGAUGCGUCUGAUUAGCUUGUUGGCGGGGUAACGGCCCACCAAGGCGACGAUCAGUAGGGGUUCUGAGAGGAAGGGUCCCCCCACAUUGGAACUGAGACACGGUCCAAACUCCUACGGGAGGCAGCAGUGAGGAAUAUUGGUCAAUGGGCGAGAGCCUGACCAGCCAAGUAGCGUGCAGG